RNAcentral lists this ribosomal RNA (322 nucleotides) under uncultured eukaryote. RNAcentral describes it as "partial 18S ribosomal RNA". It matches the Rfam family "Eukaryotic small subunit ribosomal RNA", at positions 1470 to 1796 of the family's 1831-position model. The record is from RNAcentral.
CCCUUAGAUGUUCUGGGCCGCACGCGUGCUACACUGACCGGCGCAACAAGCUUUUUUCCUUGGCUCGACAGGCCUGGGUAAUCUUCGAACGCCGGUCGUGAUGGGGAUAGAUCCUUGCAAUUUUUGAUCUUCAACGAGGAAUUCCCAGUAAACGCAAGUCAUCAGCUUGCAUUGAUUACGUCCCUGCCCUUUGUACACACCGCCCGUCGCACCUACCGAUUGAAUGGUCCGGUGAAAUCUCGGGACGGCGGCUCGGUCGCUUGCGUCCGACUGCUGAAACUUGAUUAAACCAUAUCAUUUAGAGGAAGGUGAAGUCGUAACA